GAGUCGGGGCUGAGACCAGCCCUGGCCAGGGCAGUUACCAGGACGGUCUCCGGAGGCCGGGAUUCGCGGAGGGUCCACCAGCAGGAAGAAACCCCAGGAGGAAGAAAACUCAGACAGAUCGCCGGGGAGGCAGCGCGGGAUCCCAGCCUCAGGCGUGCGCGGACGGUGUGCGGAGUCUAGCUUUGUACCAGGCUGCAGUGCAGUAGUGCCAUCUCAGCUCACUGCAACCUCUGCCUCCCGGGUUCAAGCGAUUGUCCUGCCUCAGCCUCCCGAGUAGCUGGGAUUACAGCCACAUGCCACCACACCCAGCUAAUGUUUGUAUUUUUAGUAGAUACGGGGUUUCAUCAUGUUGCCCAGGAUGGUCUUAAUUUCCUGACCUCGUGAUCCGCCCAUCUCGGCCUCCCAAAAUGCUGGGAUUACAGGCAUGAGCCACCAGAACCGGACAUGCUUUCCUUAAAAGCUAAAUAUUUUAGGCUUGUGUGCCAUUAGGCUCUGUUACAACUACUUAAUUCUGCUUUUGUAAUUCUAUAGCACCCAUUGAUAAUACAUAAACAAAUGAGCAUGAAUGUGUCUCAGUAAAAAUUUGUUCACAUAAACAGGCAGUCCACCCAUGAAGCUAUAGCUUGCUGACCCCUUGUUUAAACAAUCAAUUGAAUUCAAACAGAAAUAAAAGGAUCUUAUAUAUUUAACCAUGUUGAUACCAUUUCCAGUGCUUUUCAUUCUUCUAUGUAGAUCCAAAUUUCCUUUUGAUAUUAUUUUACUUCUGCCUGAAACAUUUUCUUUAACAUUUUUUAUAGUGUUGUUUUACUGGUGAUGAUUUCUUUCAGGUUCUAAGUGCCUGAACAAAAUCUUUAUUUCACCUACAUCUUGAAAGAUAGUUUCUCUGAGUCUACAAUUCCCAGCUGACAAUGUUUAUCUUCCAGUACUUUAAAGAUGUUGCUUCAUUAUCUUCUAAUUUUCUUUGUUUCCAAUAAAAUGUUUGCUGGCAUUUUUU
Molecule: long non-coding RNA, 994 nt
Filed under: Homo sapiens (human)
Lineage: Eukaryota; Metazoa; Chordata; Mammalia; Primates; Hominidae
Description: HSALNT0352001
Source: RNAcentral